Molecule: ribosomal RNA, 2940 nt
Filed under: Priestia megaterium
Lineage: Bacteria; Bacillati; Bacillota; Bacilli; Caryophanales; Bacillaceae
Also listed under: 1 other name
Description: bacterial LSU rRNA
Rfam family: Bacterial large subunit ribosomal RNA
Source: RNAcentral
AUGGUUAAGUUAGAAAGGGCGCACGGUGAAUGCCUUGGCACUAGGAGCCGAUGAAGGACGGGACUAACACCGAUAUGCUUCGGGGAGCUGUAAGUGAGCUUUGAUCCGGAGAUUUCCGAAUGGGGAAACCCACUGUUCGUAAUGGAACAGUAUCUUUAUCUGAAUACAUAGGAUAUUGAAGGCAGACCCGGGGAACUGAAACAUCUAAGUACCCGGAGGAAGAGAAAGCAAAUGCGAUUUCCUGAGUAGCGGCGAGCGAAACGGAAUUAGCCCAAACCAAGAGGCUUGCCUCUUGGGGUUGUAGGACACUCUAUACGGAGUUACAAAGGAACGAAGUAAAUGAAGCGACCUGGAAAGGUCCGUCGAAGAAGGUAACAACCCUGUAGUUGAAACUUCGUUCCCUCUUGAGUGGAUCCUGAGUACGGCGGAACACGUGAAAUUCCGUCGGAAGCUGGGAGGACCAUCUCCCAAGGCUAAAUACUACCUAGUGACCGAUAGUGAACCAGUACCGUGAGGGAAAGGUGAAAAGCACCCCGGAAGGGGAGUGAAAGAGAUCCUGAAACCGUGUGCCUACAAGUAGUCAGAGCCCGUUAACGGGUGAUGGCGUGCCUUUUGUAGAAUGAACCGGCGAGUUACGAUCCCAUGCAAGGUUAAGCUGAUAAGGCGGAGCCGUAGCGAAAGCGAGUCUGAAUAGGGCGUUUAGUAUGUGGUUGUAGACCCGAAACCAGGUGAUCUACCCAUGUCCAGGGUGAAGUUCAGGUAACACUGAAUGGAGGCCCGAACCCACGCACGUUGAAAAGUGCGGGGAUGAGGUGUGGGUAGCGGAGAAAUUCCAAUCGAACCUGGAGAUAGCUGGUUCUCUCCGAAAUAGCUUUAGGGCUAGCCUCAUGUUGUGAGAGUCUUGGAGGUAGAGCACUGAUUGGACUAGGGGCCCCCAACGGGUUACCGAAUUCAGUCAAACUCCGAAUGCCAAAGACUUAUCCAUGGGAGUCAGACUGCGAGUGAUAAGAUCCGUAGUCAAAAGGGAAACAGCCCAGACCACCAGCUAAGGUCCCCAAGUAUACGUUAAGUGGAAAAGGAUGUGGAGUUGCUUAGACAACCAGGAUGUUGGCUUAGAAGCAGCCACCAUUUAAAGAGUGCGUAAUAGCUCACUGGUCGAGUGACUCUGCGCCGAAAAUGUACCGGGGCUAAACGUAUCACCGAAGCUGUGGAUUGACAUCUUAGAUGUCAGUGGUAGGAGAGCGUUCUAAGUGCUGUGAAGUCAGACCGUAAGGACUGGUGGAGCGCUUAGAAGUGAGAAUGCCGGUAUGAGUAGCGAAAGACAAGUGAGAAUCUUGUCCACCGAAUGCCUAAGGUUUCCUGAGGAAGGCUCGUCCGCUCAGGGUUAGUCGGGACCUAAGCCGAGGCUGAAAAGCGUAGGCGAUGGCCAACAGGUUGAUAUUCCUGUACCACCUCCCCGCCGUUUGAGUAAUGGGGGGACGCAGUAGGAUAGGGUAAGCGCGCUGCUGGAUAUGCGCGUUCAAGCAGUUAGGCUGAUGAGUAGGCAAAUCCGCUCAUCAUAAAGGCUGAGCUGUGAUGACGAGGGAAUUAUAGUACCGAAGUUCCUGAUUCCACACUGCCAAGAAAAGCCUCUAGCGAGGCGGGAGGUGCCCGUACCGCAAACCGACACAGGUAGGCGAGGAGAGAAUCCUAAGGUGAUCGAGAGAACUCUCGUUAAGGAACUCGGCAAAAUGACCCCGUAACUUCGGGAGAAGGGGUGCUCUGGUAGGGUGUAUAGCCCGAGAGAGCCGCAGUGAAUAGGCCCAGGCGACUGUUUAGCAAAAACACAGGUCUCUGCGAAGCCGCAAGGCGAAGUAUAGGGGCUGACGCCUGCCCGGUGCUGGAAGGUUAAGAGGAGGGGUUAUCCUUUGGGAGAAGCUCUGAAUCGAAGCCCCAGUAAACGGCGGCCGUAACUAUAACGGUCCUAAGGUAGCGAAAUUCCUUGUCGGGUAAGUUCCGACCCGCACGAAAGGCGUAACGAUCUGGGCACUGUCUCAACGAGAGACUCGGUGAAAUUAUAGUACCUGUGAAGAUGCAGGUUACCCGCGACAGGACGGAAAGACCCCGUGGAGCUUUACUGUAGCCUGAUAUUGAAUUUUGGUACAGCUUGUACAGGAUAGGUAGGAGCCUGAGAAGCCGGAGCGCUAGCUUCGGUGGAGGCGUCGGUGGGAUACUACCCUGGCUGUAUUGAAAUUCUAACCCGCGGCCCUGAUCGGGCCGGGAGACAGUGUCAGGUGGGCAGUUUGACUGGGGCGGUCGCCUCCUAAAAUGUAACGGAGGCGCCCAAAGGUUCCCUCAGAAUGGUUGGAAAUCAUUCGUAGAGUGUAAAGGCACAAGGGAGCUUGACUGCGAGACCUACAAGUCGAGCAGGGACGAAAGUCGGGCUUAGUGAUCCGGUGGUUCCGCAUGGAAGGGCCAUCGCUCAACGGAUAAAAGCUACCCCGGGGAUAACAGGCUUAUCUCCCCCAAGAGUCCACAUCGACGGGGAGGUUUGGCACCUCGAUGUCGGCUCAUCGCAUCCUGGGGCUGUAGUCGGUCCCAAGGGUUGGGCUGUUCGCCCAUUAAAGCGGUACGCGAGCUGGGUUCAGAACGUCGUGAGACAGUUCGGUCCCUAUCCGUCGUGGGCGUAGGAAAUUUGAGAGGAGCUGUCCUUAGUACGAGAGGACCGGGAUGGACACACCGCUGGUGUACCAGUUGUCUUGCCAAAGGCAUCGCUGGGUAGCUAUGUGUGGACGGGAUAAGUGCUGAAAGCAUCUAAGCAUGAAGCCCCCCUCAAGAUGAGAUUUCCCAUAGCGCAAGCUAGUAAGAUCCCUGAAAGAUGAUCAGGUUGAUAGGUCAGAGGUGGAAGCGUGGCGACAUGUGUAGCUGACUGAUACUAAUCGAUCGAGGACUUAACCAAAA